UUUUAUUGAGGCUAUUUCAAUCCCUAAAGCCACGAGCCACACGGCGUUCCCAAGGAGGCAUGCUGCUUAGUGCUCCUUUUCCCUCGGUAGUGAGAGCCGCAGUCACACGGGCUCAAGCCACUGCACACGUCAGCCAAUAUUGCACACGACAACGUAAGAGUGUACUUAAUCAGUAUAUACAUGUUACAGGUUAACGUUCCACAACAAAGAAAGUAGAAUUUAACAUCCAGAGGAAACAGAGAUAGGAGAAGGGGUUCACGAACCAGUCCAGGGGAGUGAAGAAGACACAAGAAGAAGACAGACACCUCCUGGUGUGGGCCAGUCUGUGGAUCUUGCAAGGAUGUCUUCGAGGUGGUGGAGCCUCAGGCGGCAGAUGGGCAGAAGUUCAGCUACACUAGCAAGGGCUGUGGCCCUCCCUGUGUGUCCAGAUUAUGAACCUCACCCAUCCUGUGGUCCCUGGAGGGUCUUACCCCAUAGAAACUGAGAAUGGACUGAUUGAUUGACUUGAAGACUGAGAAGCUGGACGUGACCUGCUGUGAAAAGAGCCUCUGUAACAAGGGCG
This 562-nucleotide long non-coding RNA is filed under the name Pan troglodytes (chimpanzee). RNAcentral describes it as "long non-coding RNA NONPTRT017295". Lineage: Eukaryota; Metazoa; Chordata; Mammalia; Primates; Hominidae. The record is from RNAcentral.